RNAcentral lists this ribosomal RNA (468 nucleotides) under uncultured bacterium. RNAcentral's name for it is "partial 16S ribosomal RNA". It matches the Rfam family "Bacterial small subunit ribosomal RNA", at positions 28 to 507 of the family's 1533-position model. The record is from RNAcentral.
GACGAACGCUGGCGGCGUGCUUAACACAUGCGAGUCGAACGGAAAGGCCCUGCUUUUGUGGGGUGCUCGAGUGGCGAACGGGUGAGUAACACGUGAGUAACCUGCCCUUGACUUUGGGAUAACUUCAGGAAACUGGGGCUAAUACCGGAUAGGAGCUCCUGCUGCAUGGUGGUGGUUGGAAAGUUUCGGCGGUGGGGGAUGGACUCGCGGCUUAUCAGCUUGUUGGUGGGGUAGUGGCUUACCAAGGCUUUGACGGGUAGCCGGCCUGAGAGGGUGACCGGCCACAUUGGGACUGAGAUACGGCCCAGACUCCUACGGGAGGCAGCAGUGGGGAAUAUUGCACAAUGGGCGGAAGCCUGUUGCAGAAACGCUGCGUGCGGGAUGACGGCCUUCGGGUUGUAAACCGCUUUCGCCUGUGACGAAGCGUGAGUGACGGUAAUGGGUAAAGAAGCACCGGCUAACUACGUG